CAGGCCUAACACAUGCAAGUCGAGCGGAAACGAGUUAUCUGAACCUUCGGGGAACGAUAACGGCGUCGAGCGGCGGACGGGUGAGUAAUGCCUAGGAAAUUGCCCUGAUGUGGGGGAUAACCAUUGGAAACGAUGGCUAAUACCGCAUGAUGCCUACGGGCCAAAGAGGGGGACCUUCGGGCCUCUCGCGUCAGGAUAUGCCUAGGUGGGAUUAGCUAGUUGGUGAGGUAAGGGCUCACCAAGGCGACGAUCCCUAGCUGGUCUGAGAGGAUGAUCAGCCACACUGGAACUGAGACACGGUCCAGACUCCUACGGGAGGCAGCAGUGGGGAAUAUUGCACAAUGGGCGCAAGCCUGAUGCAGCCAUGCCGCGUGUGUGAAGAAGGCCUUCGGGUUGUAAAGCACUUUCAGUCGUGAGGAAGGUGGUGUAGUUAAUAGCUGCAUUAUUUGACGUUAGCGACAGAAGAAGCACCGGCUAACUCCGUGCCAGCAGCCGCGGUAAUACGGAGGGUGCGAGCGUUAAUCGGAAUUACUGGGCGUAAAGCGCAUGCAGGUGGUUUGUUAAGUCAGAUGUGAAAGCCCGGGGCUCAACCUCGAAAUAGCAUUUGAAACUGGCAGACUAGAGUACUGUAGAGGGGGGUAGAAUUUCAGGUGUAGCGGUGAAAUGCGUAGAGAUCUGAAGGAAUACCGGUGGCGAAGGUGGCCCCCUGGACAGAUACUGACACUCAGAUGCGAAAGCGUGGGGAGCAAACAGGAUUAGAUACCCUGGUAGUCCACGCCGUAAACGAUGUCUACUUGGAGGUUGUGGCCUUGAGCCGUGGCUUUCGGAGCUAACGCGUUAAGUAGACCGCCUGGGGAGUACGGUCGCAAGAUUAAAACUCAAAUGAAUUGACGGGGGCCCGCACAAGCGGUGGAGCAUGUGGUUUAAUUCGAUGCAACGCGAAGAACCUUACCUACUCUUGACAUCCAGAGAACUUUCCAGAGAUGGAUUGGUGCCUUCGGGAACUCUGAGACAGGUGCUGCAUGGCUGUCGUCAGCUCGUGUUGUGAAAUGUUGGGUUAAGUCCCGCAACGAGCGCAACCCUUAUCCUUGUUUGCCAGCGAGUAAUGUCGGGAACUCCAGGGAGACUGCCGGUGAUAAACCGGAGGAAGGUGGGGACGACGUCAAGUCAUCAUGGCCCUUACGAGUAGGGCUACACACGUGCUACAAUGGCGCAUACAGAGGGCGGCCAACUUGCGAAAGUGAGCGAAUCCCAAAAAGUGCGUCGUAGUCCGGAUUGGAGUCUGCAACUCGACUCCAUGAAGUCGGAAUCGCUAGUAAUCGUGGAUCAGAAUGCCACGGUGAAUACGUUCCCGGGCCUUGCACACACCGCCCGU
RNAcentral lists this ribosomal RNA (1375 nucleotides) under uncultured bacterium. RNAcentral describes it as "bacterial SSU rRNA". It matches the Rfam family "Bacterial small subunit ribosomal RNA", at positions 43 to 1397 of the family's 1533-position model. The record is from RNAcentral.